UAAUCAGAUUGCAAUCUGUUUGGUUAUCUAUUGUGCACAAUAUUUGGCUUAAAUAUGGGAAAGGCAACUUUAACUCUGUACUUUGUACACUGGGUGCAUUUAGAGCAUCAGGUUGUCUAGUUUCUUACACUCAUUUUGUUUUCUGUGUGUAUGUUUUGUUUUAUAUACAGAUGUUCAAGCACUGGACAAAAUGUCUACAUGAAACAUUUCUCCGUUACAUCAGCCCAGGUGUUUUCCAGUUGGAGUACGUGUGUGUGUUUUGUGUAACUGCUGCUCUCAUAACUCGGUGUACCCGUGGAAAGGGAUUGUCCUUGGUGUUCCUGUUUGAACUAUAAACCUGGCUAUUUAAUACAAUGCUAUUAAAGAGUUUGAUAUCUGUUCUAUUAAUAAAGUUGUGACUGAUCUUA
Molecule: long non-coding RNA, 407 nt
Organism: Bombina bombina (fire-bellied toad)
Lineage: Eukaryota; Metazoa; Chordata; Amphibia; Anura; Bombinatoridae
Exons: 2
Source: RefSeq, a predicted model, not a curated record